Molecule: non-coding RNA, 267 nt
Organism: Vicia faba (fava bean)
Lineage: Eukaryota; Viridiplantae; Streptophyta; Magnoliopsida; Fabales; Fabaceae
Source: the annotation of a GenBank genome assembly
AUGGUGUGCAGAAAACAACUUUACCUUGGAAAGAACAACCAAAUGGACAAAGCUAAACAAAAACAUGAGCAGAGAUUAGAAGAAGGGGAAUGUCUUACUCCAUCUGUCUGUGAUCUAAAGAACCACUGUUCUGGAAAGAAAGUAAGGAGUCACUCAAGAGACAACGAUGGGAAACAAAAUCACUUCCAGGAUCGGAAAGUAAAGAUUGUUGGGUAUCAGGCGGGACAAGGAAUAUUGCCUGUUGAGGUGGUUGCUAUGAGGCUUUAA